GGCAAUGAUGCUUGCCAUGGUGAUGACGACGACGAUGCAGCUUCACCUCGACUGGACCUGCCUGCACCGCCCUCUGCACCAGCUCAUGAGAGCAUCACUGGCACAUCCCUGGAGCCACUUGCAUACGGAGGCCCUGAGGAGAUGAUGCCGGUGAUGCUGCGGGUGCUGCGGGUGCAGCUAGAGGUGAGGCAGCAAAAUAGAGAGCUGCAUCAUGAGCUGCAGCAGCUGAG
Long non-coding RNA from Dermacentor albipictus, 230 nucleotides. RefSeq lists it as uncharacterized. NCBI's taxonomy places the organism in Eukaryota, Metazoa, Arthropoda, Arachnida, Ixodida, Ixodidae. The record is from RefSeq and is a predicted model, not a curated record.